GUGGGGUAAUGGCCUACCAAGGCGAUGACGGGUAGCUGGCGUGAGAGCGCGACCAGCCACACUGGGACUGAGACACGGCCCAGACUCCUACGGGAGGCAGCAGUGGGGAAUAUUGCUCAAUGGGCGAAAGCCUGACGCAGCGACGCCGCGUGGGGGAGGAAGGCCUCAGGGUUGUAAACCCCUGUCAGGUGGGACGAAACCCGUAAUGUCUAAUAGGCAUUACGACUGACGGUACCACCAGAGGAAGCUCCGGCUAACUCCGUGCCAGCAGCCGCGGUAAUACGGGGGGAGCAAGCGUUGUUCGGAAUUACUGGGCGUAAAGGGCGCGUAGGCGGCCAGGUCAGUCGCAUGUGAAAGGCCGGGGCUCAACCCCGAGCACUGCAUGCGAUACUGCCUGGCUCGAGAGAGGUAGGGGCAAGUGGAAUUCCCGGUGUAGCGGUGGAAUGCGUAGAUUUCGGGAGGAACACCUGUGGCGAAGGCGGCUCGCUGGACCUUUUCUGACGCUGAAGCGCGAAAGCGUGGGUAGCAAACAGGAUUAGAUACCCUAGUAGUCCACGCCGUAAACGAUGGGUACUAGGUGUUGGGAGGAUUGACCCUUUC
RNAcentral lists this ribosomal RNA (600 nucleotides) under uncultured actinomycete. RNAcentral describes it as "bacterial SSU rRNA". It matches the Rfam family "Bacterial small subunit ribosomal RNA", at positions 252 to 841 of the family's 1533-position model. Lineage: Bacteria; Bacillati; Actinomycetota; Actinomycetes; Actinomycetales. The record is from RNAcentral.